GACGAACGCUGGCGGCGUGCUUAACACAUGCAAGUCGAACGGAAAGGCCCUGCUUGCAGGGUACUCGAGUGGCGAACGGGUGAGUAACACGUGGGUGAUCUGCCCUUCACUUCGGGAUAAGCCUGGUAAACUGGGUCUAAUACCGGAUAGGAGCCAUUUUUAGUGUGAUGGUUGGAAAGUUUUUUCGGUGUAGGAUGAGCUCGCGGCCUAUCAGCUUGUUGGUGGGGUAAUGGCCUACCAAGGCGGCGACGGGUAGCCGGCCUGAGAGGGUGGACGGCCACAUUGGGACUGAGAUACGGCCCAGACUCCUACGGGAGGCAGCAGUGGGGAAUAUUGCACAAUGGGCGCAAGCCUGAUGCAGCGACGCCGCGUGGGGGAUGACGGCCUUCGGGUUGUAAACUCCGUUCGCUAGGGACGAAGCUUUUUGUGACGGUACCUAGAGAAGAAGCACCGGCUAACUACGUG
This 465-nucleotide ribosomal RNA is filed under the name uncultured bacterium. RNAcentral's name for it is "partial 16S ribosomal RNA". It matches the Rfam family "Bacterial small subunit ribosomal RNA", at positions 28 to 507 of the family's 1533-position model. The record is from RNAcentral.